UCUUUCUUCCCCCUGCCCAUGCUCCUGUUUCUUAUAUAUGACAUUAAGGAAGAAUCAUGGCAACACAUCUAAAACCUUCAAGUCUGGCCAUGGGAACACAGGAAGUAGAUAGUGUAGUACAGAUAUCAAAUGUGAAUAGAGAAAAGAAUUGUAUACUCCAUGUGGUCCUUUGCUUUAUUGAUGUUGGUAAUUUUUGAAUAACAUAAGGAUUUGGGAAUUUAUAAUUGAAGUAGGUACACCAUAAUUACACUGUUAUUCUCAGUCUAUAGAUGGGCCCACUUUGUUUCCAAAAUCAUAGCAGAAAAUGGAAUUUGAAAACAGAAUUUUUGAGUACAUAUUCAGGAAUAUUUAUAAUGUCCCCUAUGAAGGAAUGUACAAUAGGAAAGUGAAAUACAAUGUUCAUUCAACGAAAGGUGUGUAGGUAAAGUACUGGCCUUUAUAAAAUUAAGAAAACCUAGAAAAUUGAACUGUAUGUCACAGGAAUUGACCUGGGAAUAAAAAUAUUAUCCAGAAGAAUCUCCUCCACUCCAAGUUCCUAAAUAAUUUCUAUCCAUGCCAUGCCCCUGACUCAUUUUCUCCAUUCAGAAGUCACUAGCUUUAGAGAGAUGGAGAACGAAAGUUUCCACUGUGUCACAGGAGACAUACCUAAAUUGGCACCCUCAAAACUGGUUAAUGUAAGGAAAGCUGUUUAGAGUCAGGCCACGGCAGUUCUCAGUGACAAUAUCAUUAGGCUCUCCCUGAAAAAUCUCUUGUAUCCUUGAGAGCACUAGCUUCUUCUGUGAUGUAAUAAGUGUUGUCCUGACUGCAAAUGCCUCUCAGAUAUUACUUCAGUACCUAUAGGUUUUACUAAUUGGCCUCAAAUUCAGGGGAAACAGUCAUUAGGGAGGGAGAACAAAGACGAUGAAGAAAUCAGAGAUGGGGAGAACGAAGCUGGUCUUCUGUCUUGGUAUAAAAGAAGGAAGAAAUACAUCAUCCCUGAGAAAUCUCACUGAAGCCUUGGUAGGAGUGGAAUAUGAAAAAUAGUCCUGAGGAAGGAGGGACAACAAGUAUUGUAUCGUAUGUCAUCUCAAGAAAAACUCUCAAAACUCAUCCUGGCUGACAAUGUAGAUUAGACGCAUCAGAUGAAAUGAAUUGAAAAACUCUCCUGGGAAUGAAAGUGGUAAGGAAAUCACAUUGAUGUAUCCUAAAUGCAGUGCUAAGAGCAAUAUUCAGACUAGUCUGUGGAGAUGCUGCUGUCAUCAGAGACCACAGACAAUUAGUGGAGAAUGAUUCAGCAUUAAACUGGGAAUGGAAGAUGAUGGUUGAUAUUGUUCUAGUAGAUCUCACUACAUUAAAAAGUGUUUCUUCCAGAUAACUGAAUGAUUAUUGUAAAGCAAAUCCCGGAAUGAACUUAUGAGACCCACCAUCAGCCUGUCAAAUAAUGUGCGAAAGAAGAAAUCUGUGUCUCUCCAGGGACAAAUUGUUGCUUUCAAACCAACAGUAAAGUGUCCAUUCUAUGAAUGAUACAUUGAUAUAUACACAUUAUAGAAGGAUGGAUACAGAGUUUCUUCAGGUCCAUGAAUGAGGUAUUCAGCAGUUGACCUGGAGUAGCAAUGAGGGUAAUUUUUGCCAACUCUUCAGACUUGAGCUCCUUCACUAGGAUCCCCAUGAUUGAAGAAAAGAACAAACUUCAGACAAUUUGUCUCAGAUUUUUAUGUAGUUAAGAUUUCCUGGUCUUGGACCUAGGAAGGAAGGAUAUCUUGCUUUCCAAUUCUUGUUUAUCCUAUAAUCCUCUCUGCUGCAUUCAUGCAAAUAGAUUACUGUGCAUUUCUUUAAUAGGUUACAAUUGCUAUUUUAAUUAUGUUGCCAAGAACUAUAGAAAAAAAGAAGGACUGUAUCAAAGCAUCAUAUGAAAAUACGACUAAGGUAAUGUGGCCAUUGGAAAUUUGUAACUGACCUGAAACUCUUACUAGAGACAAAAUGCCAUAAAAGGUCUUCUCUAGAUAUCUGGUGUAGUAGUUGGUGUUCCCCAACAGACAGUAAAGGAUGAAUCUCUCUGUACAGAGAAAUCGGACUAGUCACAAUGAUCACAGACUAUGGAACACAUAAUUUAACAAUGACUGACUAUUUUUAAAGUCCUAGAAUCCAUUAGUUUAUUAGUCCAAAAGGAAAGAUGUCUUAUCUGGUCAUUGACAUAUGGAUAAAUAUUCAGUAUGCAGGUUCUAAUGUCUAUGAGGAUUUGGUAUCACUGUGAGUGCAAAAAUGAAAAAGUAAAGGCUUCUUUCUUCCAUGUUUUCUACGGGGAUUCAAAUAGAAUGCAUGGUUUAGAAUACAUUGGGUUUGCCAUUCUCAAACAGACCAAUAUCUUCAACUGAACAUUCUUUUCUUGGAAGCUGCACCCUGUCAGCAUGGCUCACGUGUAUGUGAACUGCAAGAUCUAGUCUGGGAAGGCGGUCCUGUUCAUCGAUCCAACCUGCCCCUAAUACUGAAAUACCCAAGACUUCCUCAAUCAACUCCUUUGCAAACAUGGUCUUCUGGGAUUUGAAGACAUUACAUCUACUAACAACACCAAUGCAAUUCAAGAUUACUUUCAACAGCUCCCUGGAGUGAGAAUUGUUCCUUGGGUCCUUAUAUGUAGAGAAAGACUGCAUAGGCAGACACAGUGAUCUAAUCUACCUGCAACAGAAUGAAGAGAUGAUGAUGUGGCUGAAGCAGAUUGGAGCUCUGCAUUUAUUAAAGGGAUGGCAGUAAAAGCCCAUGCUGACAGCAGACAUUCAGACAUGCUGAAGCCAUGAUGAGACUUGAUGUUUGUCACAGAUGAUGUCAGUAUUUUCUUAUGACUGGGAUUUUCAACAAAUUGGCUUUCAUUCUAUUCCUCAUUCCAAAAAAUCUGUUGCUGUAGGCCUCAAACCAUGGGGUAGGGAAACUUAAGAGACAACAGAGGUUUGAUAAUCCAGUCUUCAUUCACUGACUUGUCUCUACCUCUAAGUCCAUGUUUCACAAUCCAGUGCAUUUAAAUCUCCAGGGAAUCAGUUACUGUUUCUCUACCAUGCUGGUCUGCUGAAGUCAUUUUACAGAAGUCCACUUCCAAGUAAUUAUUAAAGCAAUGAAUAUUUUGAAGUUGUUUAUGAUCUACACACAGGCUUUUUACGCCCCAAGCAUGUACCAUCCCACUUCUGCAUUUGCAGCUCUCAGCCAGUGUUCUCGACCUAUCCAUCCAGCAACCCUUAGAUUCCACACUUUGUAUGAGGAUAAUAUUUGAAAAAACAGAAGAAUAGCUGUAGCAUAGUUGUUCUUCUCUGUAGCCAUAUUAACACAGACGGCAGAGCAUAUGAUGCAUUCAUCUCUGUUUGUAGUGUUUAAUUCCCCGUAAAGUCCCAAACAAUUGAGAGUUGAUUCUGUCAGAGUACCAGCAAAGUCAAAAAGGAAAUGCAAAAUUUCAGAAUUCUCCUUCCAAAGAUGUUUUGAAAGAAGUUGUUUGCAAAACACUGUCUUAAUAAAUUUAUUCCAUUCUCACUUUGAU
This is a non-coding RNA of Rattus norvegicus (Norway rat), 3502 nucleotides long. NCBI's taxonomy places the organism in Eukaryota, Metazoa, Chordata, Mammalia, Rodentia, Muridae. The record is from RefSeq and is a predicted model, not a curated record.